RNAcentral lists this small RNA (362 nucleotides) under Arabidopsis thaliana (thale cress). Its description in RNAcentral is "ATSL154770". Lineage: Eukaryota; Viridiplantae; Streptophyta; Magnoliopsida; Brassicales; Brassicaceae. The record is from RNAcentral.
UUUUUAAAACGUGGUUUAAAAACUCACAAAAAAAUCUGAGGUUUUUUUAUAGGGAGAUUUGCAAAACUACCCUUUUUUACUACCCUUUUGCAACAAUACUCUUUUAUGUUGUCCAUUUUUAAAAAUAUACUUUCCCUUGAACAGAAUGACCAAAUUACCCUCAUCUAAUAGGAACAUGUAAUUGGAAACUGAAAUUUUCCCGCCAAAUUUUGGGCGCCAAAAUUUAUUUUUUCCGCCAAAAACAAAUUUCCGCCAAACAUUUUUCCGGUAAAUUUCCGACAAAUUUUUUGUAUUUCAAAAAGCUUAUUUUCUGUGUUUUUACUUUUUAGUUAAAAACAGAGAAUAAUAAAUAAUACUAAUAA